CCAAUCGUUAACCAUAGAUUUGCGUAGGUGUUGUGCACAGAGGUGUUACAUAAUAGUCUGUCCAUGACGCCUAGGCAUACCCGUGGUUGACGCAUCUUCAAAUUAAC
RNAcentral lists this microRNA precursor (107 nucleotides) under Capitella teleta. RNAcentral describes it as "microRNA cte-mir-242 precursor". Its record names the gene cte-mir-242. The stretch from base 9 to 89 matches the Rfam family "mir-242_2 microRNA precursor family". Lineage: Eukaryota; Metazoa; Annelida; Polychaeta; Capitellidae. The record is from miRBase by way of RNAcentral.